UAAAACAGUGACUUUGUGCGUGCGUUCGUU
RNAcentral lists this non-coding RNA (30 nucleotides) under Rattus norvegicus (Norway rat). The record is from RNAcentral. Lineage: Eukaryota; Metazoa; Chordata; Mammalia; Rodentia; Muridae.